AAUGAGGACAAAAAGUUUCGCAGGUCAAAAAGAGUGUCUGAAAUAUAAUGGGAAAUAAACCCGAAAAAAUAGUCUACCAAUCGCUACCAGAUAGCUAUUUAGAUGAGGAAUCGAGAGCUGUGUGAGCAAUGAAAUUUUUUACAAGGAAAGCAUAUAUACUGGUUUAAAUCUCUAUGACUUUCGGAAAUAAACACUCCUGUAACUUCUUUUUCUCCUUCUUAUAAAUCAAAAAUUAACCUGCUGUAGAAGGCAGGUUCUCGUUGAAUAAUUAUAUAAAAUU
Molecule: non-coding RNA, 280 nt
Organism: Schizosaccharomyces pombe (fission yeast)
Lineage: Eukaryota; Fungi; Ascomycota; Schizosaccharomycetes; Schizosaccharomycetales; Schizosaccharomycetaceae
Source: the annotation of a GenBank genome assembly